RNAcentral lists this ribosomal RNA (338 nucleotides) under Heterocapsa rotundata. Its description in RNAcentral is "partial Bacterial large subunit ribosomal RNA". Lineage: Eukaryota; Dinophyceae; Peridiniales; Heterocapsaceae. The record is from RNAcentral.
GUUGGUGGUUAAAUGUCAUACGAGGUGUGUUAAUAUCUGGGUGUGUUCGAAAGAUGUAAAGGUGUCGAAUAAAUGUAAUUUGCUGGCAUAAGAUUGUUGUGAAAUGAUUUUAAUUAAGAGGGAUUAACUAUAAAUAAGGUUCAAGCGCCUCCGGGUGUUAUUAUUAGUCGUUUGCAAUUAGGUUAAGAUGGGUAUUCGCUUAUGUUACAAAUGGGAAAAACCCGAACUAGUAGUUAAAGUUGAAAAAUAUCAAUGUGUCUUAAAUGAAAUUAUCUAAUAGAUUUGUUUUAAUGUCAGCUCAAAAGUUGGAUUAAUAGCAUUCAUCUUUUCAAAAGUGU